UACGUAGGGCGCAAGCGUUGUCCGGAAUUAUUGGGCGUAAAGAGCUCGUAGGCGGCUUGUCACGUCGGGUGUGAAAGCCCGGGGCUUAACCCCGGGUCUGCAUUCGAUACGGGCUAGCUAGAGUGUGGUAGGGGAGAUCGGAAUUCCUGGUGUAGCGGUGAAAUGCGUAGAUAUCAAGAGGAACACCUGAGGUGAAGACGGGUUGCUGGGCCAACACUGACGCUGAGGCGCGAAAGCCAGGGGAGCAAACGGG
This 253-nucleotide ribosomal RNA is filed under the name uncultured bacterium. RNAcentral describes it as "partial 16S ribosomal RNA". It matches the Rfam family "Bacterial small subunit ribosomal RNA", at positions 524 to 776 of the family's 1533-position model. The record is from RNAcentral.